Molecule: ribosomal RNA, 1748 nt
Filed under: Streptococcus agalactiae
Lineage: Bacteria; Bacillati; Bacillota; Bacilli; Lactobacillales; Streptococcaceae
Description: partial 23S ribosomal RNA
Rfam family: Bacterial large subunit ribosomal RNA
Source: RNAcentral
UAAGGUUAAGUUAAUAAGGGCGCACGGUGGAUGCCUUGGCACUAGAAGCCGAAGAAGGACGUGACUAACGACGAAAUGCUUUGGGGAGCUGUAAGUAAGCGCUGAUCCAGAGAUGUCCGAAUGGGGGAACCCACUAGUUAAUGACUAGUAUCCAUAUCUGUUAAGGAUAUGAGAAGGAAGACGCAGUGAACUGAAACAUCUAAGUAGCUGCAGGAAGAGAAAGCAAAAGCGAUUGCCUUAGUAGCGGCGAGCGAAACGGCAGGAGGGCAAACCGAAGUGUUUACACUUCGGGGUUGUAGGACUGCGAUAUAGGAUUAAUCAUUAUAGAAGAAUUACCUGGGAAGGUAAGCCAAAGAGAGUAACAGCCUCGUAUUUAAAAUGAUAGAUUAACCUUAGCAGUAUCCUGAGUACGGCGAGACACGCGAAAUCUCGUCGGAAUCUGGGAGGACCAUCUCCCAACCCUAAAUACUCUCUAGUGACCGAUAGUGAACCAGUACCGUGAGGGAAAGGUGAAAAGCACCCCGGGAGGGGAGUGAAAUAGAACCUGAAACCGUGUGCCUACAACAAGUUCGAGCCCGUUAAUGGGUGAGAGCGUGCCUUUUGUAGAAUGAACCGGCGAGUUACGAUAUGAUGCGAGGUUAAGUUGAAGAGACGGAGCCGUAGGGAAACCGAGUCUUAAUAGGGCGUCAUAGUAUCAUGUUGUAGACCCGAAACCAUGUGACCUACCCAUGAGCAGGUUGAAGGUGAGGUAAAACUCACUGGAGGACCGAACCAGGGCACGUUGAAAAGUGCUUGGAUGACUUGUGGGUAGCGGAGAAAUUCCAAACGAACUUGGAGAUAGCUGGUUCUCUCCGAAAUAGCUUUAGGGCUAGCGUCGAUGUUAAGUCUCUUGGAGGUAGAGCACUGUUUGGGUGAGGGGUCCAUCCCGGAUUACCAAUCUCAGAUAAACUCCGAAUGCCAACGAGAUAUAAUCGGCAGUCAGACUGCGAGUGCUAAGAUCCGUAGUCGAAAGGGAAACAGCCCAGACCACCAGCUAAGGUCCCAAAAUAUAUGUUAAGUGGAAAAGGAUGUGGGGUUGCACAGACAACUAGGAUGUUAGCUUAGAAGCAGCUAUUCAUUCAAAGAGUGCGUAAUAGCUCACUAGUCGAGUGACCCUGCGCCGAAAAUGUACCGGGGCUAAAACAUAUUACCGAAGCUGUGGAUGACACAAAAGUGUCAUGGUAGGAGAGCGUUCUAUGUGUGAAGAAGGUGUACCGUGAGGAGCGCUGGAACGCAUAGAAGUGAGAAUGCCGGUAUGAGUAGCGCAAGACAGGUGAGAAUCCUGUCCACCGUAAGACUAAGGUUUCCAGGGGAAGGCUCGUCCGCCCUGGGUUAGUCGGGACCUAAGGAGAGACCGAAAGGUGUAUCCGAUGGACAACAGGUUGAUAUUCCUGUACUAGAGUAUAUAGUGAUGGAGGGACGCAGUAGGCUAACUAAACCAGACGAUUGGAAGUGUCUGGUCAAACAGUGAGGUGUGAUAUGAGUCAAAUGCUUAUAUCUUUAACAUUGAGCUGUGACGAGGAGCGAAGUUUAGUAGCGAAGUUAGUGAUGUCACACUGCCAAGAAAAGCUUCUAGCGAUACAUAUACUCUACCCGUACCGCAAACCGACACAGGUAGUCGAGGCGAGUAGCCUCAGGUGAGCGAGAGAACUCUCGUUAAGGAACUCGGCAAAAUGGCCCCGUAACUUCGGGAGAAGGGGCGCUGAUUU